Molecule: ribosomal RNA, 239 nt
Filed under: uncultured bacterium
Lineage: Bacteria
Description: partial 16S ribosomal RNA
Rfam family: Bacterial small subunit ribosomal RNA
Source: RNAcentral
GAUCUGGCUCAGGAUGAACGCUAUCUACAGGCUUAACACAUGCAAGUCGAGGGGAAACGACAUCGAAAGCUUGCUUUUGAUGGGCGUCGACCGGCGCACGGGUGAGUAACGCGUAUCCAACCUGCCUACCACUUGGGGAUAACCUUGCGAAAGUAAGACUAAUACCCAAUGACAUCCCACGAAGACAUCUGAAUGGGAUUAAAGAUUUAUCGGUGAUGGAUGGGGAUGCGUCUGAUUAG